CUGUGCUUUGCCUUCAGUCCAUGUGGGUCUCUGGAGAGAAAUGGGAGCAAAGGAGCUGUUCUGUGGAUGAGGACACAGCUGGCUGGGCCCAUGUUUUUGUACUGGAGAUGUAGAGAAUCAUCAGGAAGGCCUCGAGAUUCAAUCUGAAGAUUCCACAUCAAGGAGAAAUGGCCAUACUCCUAUGUCUUGUCUUUUGAACCUUUUCUGUUUGUUUGGAGUGUGGUUUUCUGUUCUCCAGAGGACUCUUUUCAGGUGGGAAAAUAUACUGAA
RNAcentral lists this long non-coding RNA (270 nucleotides) under Cyanistes caeruleus (blue tit). RNAcentral describes it as "lncRNA (ENSCCEG00000015786.1)". The record is from RNAcentral. Lineage: Eukaryota; Metazoa; Chordata; Aves; Passeriformes; Paridae.